UACGGAGGAGGCAAGCGUUAUCCGGAAUUACUGGGCGUAAAGAGUUGCGUAGGUGGCACUGUAAGUCGGUAGUGAAAGCGUGGGGCUCAACCUCAUAUCCAUUAUCGAAACUGCAGAGCUAGAGGACGAGAGAGGUCACUGGAAUUCCCUGUGUAGGAGUGAAAUCCGUAGAUAUAGGGAGGAACACCGAUGGCGUAGGCAGGUGACUGGCUCGUUCCUGACACUAAGGCACGAAAGCGUGGGGAGCAAACGGG
RNAcentral lists this ribosomal RNA (254 nucleotides) under uncultured bacterium. RNAcentral's name for it is "partial 16S ribosomal RNA". It matches the Rfam family "Bacterial small subunit ribosomal RNA", at positions 524 to 776 of the family's 1533-position model. The record is from RNAcentral.